Non-coding RNA from Nylanderia fulva, 1028 nucleotides. The record is from RefSeq and is a predicted model, not a curated record. Lineage: Eukaryota; Metazoa; Arthropoda; Insecta; Hymenoptera; Formicidae.
ACAGGAUACAUGUUUCUGCGCGGGAGAGAAGCUGAGACUACCGACGAUUCGUCGAUAGCUUUGCAAGAAACUGUCCGUCUACUAUACCACUGACGAAGUACUGUUACGUCAGUGCUGGUAUCAUGGUAAAAUGCCGUAUCUGUUGUAUUUUCACGAGAUCAGAACUGUCUGUUGCUUAUCCAUCUCUGCGGCACUGAACAUCAAACGCAACGAAAAGAAAACAAAUCUUCGUCUAUCAGAUUUGGAAAGCAAGCGAUAUAAUGACAAUAAGAAAUGGUUUAAUCUAUAUAUGAAAUUUUUUAUCGCGUUAUUUAAUUUAAUGGCCAUAAAUUGGAUCGUGUAUGCAAUAUCAUGGAUACUUAAUUUUCCACAAAAAAUACUCUAGUUAUUUUAUUUAUUUUUGUUUACUGUGCAGAAUUUCUGCGCUUUUAUCGUAUUUGUAUGGAAAAAGAAGAUUAAGUUGAUGAUAUUAAAACGAUUCAGAAUGCGGGAUGAAUGAAUCGUGGACUUGACUACCAUGACAAAGCUGCAGUAAAGGUCGAAUUCUUGCAGAGAAGAAAAUUGUCACGCAAAAGUUUGUUCGAUGGGAUUAAAUUCUAAUAAUGCAGUUAUGUUAAAAAAAAGUUUUAUCGCAAAUUAUGCACCAACGAACAAUCAGCAAUUUAAUAUAAUUAUAUUAAAACAGAAAUAACUUUACCGUUUCAUAUUUUGAUGUUAACGAUUCUUUAAAAGAUUUAGUUUAAAAUCUUAUAUAGAAAAUCUAUCUUACUUUACAUAUUAUUGAAUCAAAUCAAUGAUUGCAAUACUGUUAAAAAUACGUAGAAGUGCAAACUAGAUUUGCGUAAAAUUACACAGUUUCCAUCUUAAUGAACAUAUUAUGUUGUAUAAAUCGCAGUUAAAGAAUGAUGCAUCAAAUAUUUUUCCUGAUAUCCGUACUUCAAUAAUUAUUAUCUGAGAUAGAUUCUUUGAUUACAUCAUACAUUUACAUGAAUAUAAAUAUAUAAUGUAGGUAAAAAUCUCUUCAUUAU